Molecule: ribosomal RNA, 995 nt
Filed under: uncultured Streptococcus sp.
Lineage: Bacteria; Bacillati; Bacillota; Bacilli; Lactobacillales; Streptococcaceae
Description: bacterial SSU rRNA
Rfam family: Bacterial small subunit ribosomal RNA
Source: RNAcentral
GUGCCAGCAGCCGCGGUAAUACGUAGGUCCCGAGCGUUGUCCGGAUUUAUUGGGCGUAAAGCGAGCGCAGGCGGUUAGAUAAGUCUGAAGUUAAAGGCUGUGGCUUAACCAUAGUAGGCUUUGGAAACUGUUUAACUUGAGUGCAAGAGGGGAGAGUGGAAUUCCAUGUGUAGCGGUGAAAUGCGUAGAUAUAUGGAGGAACACCGGUGGCGAAAGCGGCUCUCUGGCUUGUAACUGACGCUGAGGCUCGAAAGCGUGGGGAGCAGACAGGAUUAGAUACCCUGGUAGUCCACGCUGUAAACGAUGAGUGCUAGGUGUUAGACCCUUUCCGGGGUUUAGUGCCGUAGCUAACGCAUUAAGCACUCCGCCUGGGGAGUACGACCGCAAGGUUGAAACUCAAAGGAAUUGACGGGGGCCCGCACAAGCGGUGGAGCAUGUGGUUUAAUUCGAAGCAACGCGAAGAACCUUACCAGGUCUUGACAUCCCUCUGACCGCUCUAGAGAUAGAGUUUUCCUUCGGGACAGAGGUGACAGGUGGUGCAUGGUUGUCGUCAGCUCGUGUCGUGAGAUGUUGGGUUAAGUCCCGCAACGAGCGCAACCCCUAUUGUUAGUUGCCAUCAUUUAGUUGGGCACUCUAGCGAGACUGCCGGUAAUAAACCGGAGGAAGGUGGGGAUGACGUCAAAUCAUCAUGCCCCUUAUGACCUGGGCUACACACGUGCUACAAUGGCUGGUACAACGAGUCGCAAGCCGGUGACGGCAAGCUAACCUCUUAAAGCCAGUCUCAGUUCGGAUUGUAGGCUGCAACUCGCCUACAUGAAGUCGGAAUCGCUAGUAAUCGCGGAUCAGCACGCCGCGGUGAAUACGUUCCCGGGCCUUGUACACACCGCCCGUCACACCACGAGAGUUUGUAACACCCGAAGUCGGUGAGGUAACCGUAAGGAGCCAGCCGCCUAAGGUGGGAUAGAUGAUUGGGGUGAAGUCGUAACAAGGUAACC